GUAGAGACCGAUAGCAACCACGUGAUCAGUAAAAAUCGUGUAUUUUCACGUGAAAUUAUUUUUCGGAAUUCCGUACAUCGCCAUAGAGUAGUUGAAAAACAAAAAGGGGUUCCGAAAGUACAAGUUGCUGUGACUGAAUCGAUGAUUGAGAGGGUCGUCUCGACGAAAGAUAUAGAAAUUUGGCCAUAGUUUAGAUUAGGAAUACGUCAAUGUAAUAAUAGUGGACUAAAUGUUUCGUCCGUGCAGAAUGGCACUUUUUACCUCACGAAAUUCACCACCAUGCAUAGCUGCGCUACGUAAACAAAGUUGUUGAUGUAGCGUGAUCGUGGUGUCCGAGUGCUGCGAGUUUCAAUACUGUUUAUGUAGUCAUUGAGAGUUUAAACAAAGUUUCUUCUGAGAAGAGGAAUUCGAUGGAUGCAUUCAACGUGGACAACGAAAUCAUAAUUUCGUUUGCAUCAUCCUAAGGACCAGUGCAAGUUGAAAUGGGCUUCCAGCCAACAACUUCCACAGCAAUUUGCCAUGAAAAUCAGCAAGAAAGGUACUUCAUUUACAUUGAUGAUGUCAUAUCCCCUGGACCCCACAACUUCACAGGUUACAGAGAAAAUUCAAGAACUUCUGCAAAAUGUGGGACUUGGAUAGAAUCAAUAAUGUAUUUGUGAGCCCAGAGCAAUGGAUAUAUUGUGCAACAUACUAAAGUGUGAAUUUAAUGGAGAACAAGUACAUGUACUCAUGUAUUACAUGUCUUUUUUAAAGACAAUAAUAUUGUAUAAAUAUAGAGGAAGUGUCAUUGUUGAUUAUUCUAAGUUUUUGAUAUAUCAAAAUCAGUAAACAUUUCUAAAUGAAAAUAAAAUACCAAUUUUAUAACUUUAA
Ostrea edulis (European flat oyster) is the source of this 870-nucleotide long non-coding RNA. RefSeq lists it as uncharacterized. The record is from RefSeq and is a predicted model, not a curated record. The transcript is spliced from 3 exons. Lineage: Eukaryota; Metazoa; Mollusca; Bivalvia; Ostreida; Ostreidae.